GACAGAGGGGGCAAGCGUUGUCCGGACUUACUGGGCGUAAAGCGUCCGCAGGUGGCACGGGAAGUGGCUGCUGAAAACGCCGGGCUUAACCCGGCGAGGCGUGGCCAAACUCCCGCGCUCGAGCCCGUCAGAGGUCGCUGGAAUUGCCGGUGUAGUGGUGAAAUGCGUAGAGAUCGGCAGGAACACCAAGGGGGAAGCCAGGCGACGGGGACGGUGUUGACACUCAGGGACGACAGCGUGGGGAGCGAACCGG
Molecule: ribosomal RNA, 253 nt
Filed under: uncultured bacterium
Lineage: Bacteria
Description: partial 16S ribosomal RNA
Rfam family: Bacterial small subunit ribosomal RNA
Source: RNAcentral